Molecule: ribosomal RNA, 253 nt
Filed under: uncultured bacterium
Lineage: Bacteria
Description: partial 16S ribosomal RNA
Rfam family: Bacterial small subunit ribosomal RNA
Source: RNAcentral
UACGGAGGGUGCAAGCGUUAUCCGGAUUCACUGGGCUUAAAGGGUGCGUAGGCGGUUAGGUAAGUCCGUGGUGAAAUCCUGCAGCUUAACUGCAGAACUGCCAUGGAUACUAUUUAUCUUGAAUGUCGUAGAGGUUAGCAGAAUAUGUCAUGUAGCGGUGAAAUGCUUAGAUAUGACAUAGAAUACCCAUUGCGAAGGCAGCUAACUACGCGAUAAUUGACGCUGAUGCACGAAAGCGUGGGGAGCGAACAGG